AAUAGGCCAUCAGUGGGACAUCAUAGAGGGUGACAAUCCCGUCCUUGAUGCCAAUGUACAAGUCCGUUNCGAUGACUAUNUCAGAGAGUCGAGCAGUUUGGGNUUUGCUGCUUAAACAUGGGAGGUAGAUUCCUUCUAAAGCUAAAUACAGGCGAGAGACCGAUAGAGAACAAGUACCGCAAGGGAAAGAUGAAAUAGAACUCUGUGAAGGGAGUCAAAAGGCGUGAAAUUGUUGCGAGAGAAGCGAUUCAAGUCAGCGUAGCUAGGCCCAUCAAGCUUUAUCGCUUUGGACUAGCUUUGCCAGCGGUCUUGUCCUAGGGACUUGACUUUUGUGAUGCCCAGCCUGGUCUAUACAGGUAGCCCUCCUGGGGGCCAGUGGCAUGGCUGGUGGAAUGGCUUGCAAUCGACCCGUCUUGAAACACGGACCAAGGAGUCUAACAUGUAUGCGAGUAUAAGGGUGGCAAACCCGUAUGCGCAAUGAAAGUGACUUUCGUUGAUUGAGAAUGGCCUGACGACCAGACAAGCAAUACAUGUCCCUCGAACGGCCAUUGCCCAAGUUCCGUGGUAGAACCCACGAACAUGGAGUUGGAGCAUACAUGCUAGGACCCGAAAGAUGGUGAACUAUGCCUGGACAAAGCGAAGCCAAAGGAAACUCUGGUGGAGNCUUGUAGCGAUUCUGACGUGCAAAUCGAUCGUCUGAUCUGGGUAUAGGGGCGAAAGACUAUC
This 726-nucleotide ribosomal RNA is filed under the name Cantharellus ruber. RNAcentral's name for it is "LSU rRNA". It matches the Rfam family "Eukaryotic large subunit ribosomal RNA", at positions 180 to 936 of the family's 3401-position model. Lineage: Eukaryota; Fungi; Basidiomycota; Agaricomycetes; Cantharellales; Hydnaceae. The record is from RNAcentral.